AUUGAACGCUGGCGGCAGGCCUAACACAUGCAAGUCGAACGAGUGGCGGACGGGUGAGUAAUGUCUGGGAAACUGCCCGAUGGAGGGGGAUAACUACUGGAAACGGUAGCUAAUACCGCAUACCAUCGGAUGUGCCCAGCUGGGAUUAGCUAGUAGGUGGGGUAACGGCUCACCUAGGAGACGAUCCCUGGCUGGUCUGAGAGGAUGAAAAGCAAAACUGGAACGGAGACAGGGUCCAGAAUCCUACGGGAGGAAGCAGGGGGGAAUAUUGCACAAUGGGCGCAAGCCUGAUGCGGCCAUGCCGCGUGGAGGAAGAAGGCCUUCGGGUUGUAAAGUACUUUCAGCGAGGAGGCGUUACUCGCAGAAGAAGCACCGGCUAACUCCGUGCCAGCAGCCGCGGUAAUUC
Molecule: ribosomal RNA, 406 nt
Filed under: uncultured bacterium
Lineage: Bacteria
Description: partial 16S ribosomal RNA
Rfam family: Bacterial small subunit ribosomal RNA
Source: RNAcentral